GCAUAUCAAUAAGCGGAGGAAAAGAAACUAACAAGGAUUCCCCUAGUAACGGCGAGUGAAGCGGGAAAAGCUCAAAUUUGUAAUCUGGCGCCUUGGGCGUCCGAGUUGUAAUCUCGAGAAGUAUUUUCCGCGCUGGACCGCACAUAAGUCUGUUGGAAUACAGCGUCAUAGUGGUGAGAACCCCGUAUAGGGUGCGGAUGCCCAGUGCUUUGUGAUAUACUUUCGAAGAGUCGAGUUGUUUGGGAAUGCAGCUCAAAUUGGGUGGUAAAUUCCAUCUAAAGCUAAAUAUUGGCGAGAGACCGAUAGCGAACAAGUACCGUGAGGGAAAGAUGAAAAGCACUUUGGAAAGAGAGUUAACAGUACGUGAAAUUGUUGGAAGGGAAACGCUUGAAGUCAGACUUGCAUUUUGGAGUUCAGCCGCAAGGUGUAUUCUUCAAUUCGCAGGCCAGCAUCAGUUUCUGGGGGUGGAAAAGCGCGGUUGGAAGGUAGCAGUCUCGGCUGUGUUAUAGCUUUCCGCUGGAUUCACUUUUGGGGACUGAGGAACGCAGUACGCUUUUUGCAAGAUUCUCGAGUCUUUCGUACUUAGGAUGCUGGUGGAAUGGCUUUAAACGACCCGUCUUGAAACACGGACCA
Molecule: ribosomal RNA, 633 nt
Filed under: Microbotryum heliospermatis
Lineage: Eukaryota; Fungi; Basidiomycota; Microbotryomycetes; Microbotryales; Microbotryaceae
Description: LSU rRNA
Rfam family: Eukaryotic large subunit ribosomal RNA
Source: RNAcentral